This 67-nucleotide ribosomal RNA is filed under the name Mycoplasma sp. Sp22. RNAcentral's name for it is "partial 16S ribosomal RNA". Lineage: Bacteria; Bacillati; Mycoplasmatota; Mollicutes; Mycoplasmatales; Mycoplasmataceae. The record is from RNAcentral.
GGGAGCUGGUAAUGCCCGAAGUCGGUUUAUAAAGAAACUGCCUAAGGCAGGACUGGUGACUGGGGUU